GCGCCCGUAAUUCAAUUGGAUAGAAUGUUGGAUUCCGGUUCCAAAGGUUGUAGGUUCUGGCAUAGCCAUCCCUAUGGGAAAAUCCUGCCGGGCGUACCA
Molecule: transfer RNA, 99 nt
Filed under: Ignavibacterium sp.
Lineage: Bacteria; Pseudomonadati; Ignavibacteriota; Ignavibacteria; Ignavibacteriales; Ignavibacteriaceae
Description: tRNA-Arg
Source: RNAcentral